UACGUAGGGGGCAAGCGUUGUCCGGAUUUAUUGGGCGUAAAGAGUGUGUAGGCGGCCAGAUAGGUCCGUUGUGAAAACUCGAGGCUCAACCUCGAGAUGUCGAUGGAAACCGUCUGGCUAGAGUCCGGAAGAGGAGUGUGGAAUUCCUGGUGUAGCGGUGAAAUGCGCAGAUAUCAGGAAGAACACCUAUGGCGAAGGCAGCACUCUGGGACGGUACUGACGCUGAGACGCGAAAGCGUGGGGAGCGAACAGG
Molecule: ribosomal RNA, 253 nt
Filed under: uncultured bacterium
Lineage: Bacteria
Description: partial 16S ribosomal RNA
Rfam family: Bacterial small subunit ribosomal RNA
Source: RNAcentral